AACGAACGCUGGCGGAAGGCUUAACACAUGCAAGUCGAGCGCUCACUUCGGUGGGAGCGGCAGACGGGUGAGUAACGCGUGGGGAUCUACCCAGUACUAGGGAAUAACACAGAGAAAUUUGUGCUAAUGCCUUAUACGCCCUUCGGGGGAAAGAUUUAUCGGUAUUGGAUGAACCCGCGUCUGAUUAGCUAGUUGGUGAGGUAAUGGCUCACCAAGGCUACGAUCAGUAGCUGGUCUGAGAGGAUGAUCAGCCACACUGGGACUGAGACACGGCCCAGACUCCUACGGGAGGCAGCAGUGGGGAAUAUUGGACAAUGGGCGCAAGCCUGAUCCAGCCAUUCCGCGUGAGUGAUGACGGCCCUAGGGUUGUAAAGCUCUUUCAACGGUGAAGAUAAUGACGGUAACCGUAGAAGAAGCCCCGGCUAACUUCG
Molecule: ribosomal RNA, 431 nt
Filed under: uncultured Phyllobacteriaceae bacterium
Lineage: Bacteria; Pseudomonadati; Pseudomonadota; Alphaproteobacteria; Hyphomicrobiales; Phyllobacteriaceae
Description: bacterial SSU rRNA
Rfam family: Bacterial small subunit ribosomal RNA
Source: RNAcentral